RNAcentral lists this transfer RNA (71 nucleotides) under Mus musculus (house mouse). Its description in RNAcentral is "tRNA-Asn". It matches the Rfam family "tRNA". Rfam says of the family: Transfer RNA (tRNA) molecules are approximately 80 nucleotides in length. Their secondary structure includes four short double-helical elements and three loops (D, anti-codon, and T loops). Further hydrogen bonds mediate the characteristic L-shaped molecular structure. tRNAs have two regions of fundamental functional importance: the anti-codon, which is responsible for specific mRNA codon recognition, and the 3' end, to which the tRNAs corresponding amino acid is attached (by aminoacyl-tRNA synthetases). tRNAs cope with the degeneracy of the genetic code in two manners: having more than one tRNA (with a specific anti-codon) for a particular amino acid; and 'wobble' base-pairing, i.e. permitting non-standard base-pairing at the 3rd anti-codon position. The record is from RNAcentral. Lineage: Eukaryota; Metazoa; Chordata; Mammalia; Rodentia; Muridae.
UAGAUUGAAGCCAGUAAUAGGGUAUUUAGCUGUUAACUAAAUUUUCGUAGGUUUGAUUCCGGCCAAUCUAG